UAAGGAGGACCCCGUGACUUCCCAGCACCUUGCGUGCGGGUGGGGUUGUGGGGUCGCAGAGAAUAGGGAGAAGCGACUGUUUAUCAAAAACACAGGUGCGUGCGAAGCCGUAAGGCGAUGUAUACGCACUGACGCCUGCCCGGUGCUGGAAGGUUAAGAGGAACCGUCAACACCCCCCUGGGGUGUGAAGCGGUGAAUUUAAGCCCCAGUAAACGGCGGUGGUAACUAUAACCAUCCUAAGGUAGCGAAAUUCCUUGUCGGGUAAGUUCCGACCUGCACGAAUGGCGUAACGACUUCUCCGCUGUCUCAACCGCGAACUCGGUGAAAUUGCAGUACGAGUAAAGAUGCUCGUUUCGCGCAGAAGGACGGAAAGACCCCGGGACCUUUACUAUAGCUUGGUAUUGGUGUUCGCUUGGACUUGUGUAGGAUAGGUGGGAGACUGUGAAGGCGCCGCGCCAGCGGUGGUGGAGUCGUCGUUGAAAUACCAUUCUGGUUCAAGCGGUCACCUCAACCUUGGCCCGUGAUCCGGGUUGGGGACAGUGCCUGGUGGGUAGUUUAACUGGGGCGGUUGCCUCCUAAAAUGUAACGGAGGCGCUCAAAGGUUCCCUCAGCCUGGUUGGUAAUCAGGUGGCGAGUGCAAGUGUACAAGGGAGCUUGACUGUGAGACCGACGGGUCGAGCAGGUGCGAAAGCAGGAACUAGUGAUCCGGCCAUGGCACGUGGGUGCGUGGUCGCUCAACGGAUAAAAGGUACCCCGGGGAUAACAGGCUGAUCUUGCCCAAGAGUCCAUAUCGACGGCAUGGUUUGGCACCUCGAUGUCGGCUCGUCGCAUCCUGGGGCUGGAGUUGGUCCCAAGGGUUGGGCUGUUCGCCCAUUAAAGCGGUACGCGAGCUGGGUUCAGAACGUCGUGAGACAGUUCGGUCCCUAUCCUCUGUGCGCGUAGGAAAUUUGAGAAGGGCCGUCCCUAGUACGAGAGGACCGGGAUGGACGAACCUCUGGUGUGCCAGUUGUACCGCCAGGUGCAUGGCUGGUUGGCUACGUUCGGAAGGGAUAACCGCUGAAAGCAUCUAAGCGGGAAGCCUGCUUCAAGAUGAGGUUUCCGCGCCCCCUCAGUGGGGUGAGAGGCCCCCGCCAGACUAGCGGGUUGAUAGGCCAGAGGUGGAAGCACCGCGAGGUGCUCGUGAGCCGACUGGUACUAAUGGGCCAACACUAAACAAC
This 1217-nucleotide ribosomal RNA is filed under the name metagenome. RNAcentral describes it as "bacterial LSU rRNA". It matches the Rfam family "Bacterial large subunit ribosomal RNA", at positions 1742 to 2925 of the family's 2925-position model. The record is from RNAcentral.